RNAcentral lists this long non-coding RNA (215 nucleotides) under Mytilus galloprovincialis (Mediterranean mussel). The record is from RNAcentral. Lineage: Eukaryota; Metazoa; Mollusca; Bivalvia; Mytilida; Mytilidae.
GGCCCAGUAGUUUCAGAGGAGAAGAUUUUUGUAAAAGAUUACGAAGAUUUACGAAAAAUGGUUAAAAAUUGACUAUAAAGGGCAAUAACUCCUAAAGGGGUCAACUGACCAUUUCCGUCAUGUUGACUUAUUUGUAAAUCUUACUUUGCUGAACAUUAUUGCUGUUUACAGUUUAUCUCUAUCUAUAAUAAUAUUCAAGAUAAUAACCAAAAACA